This 92-nucleotide transfer RNA is filed under the name Pseudomonadota bacterium. Its description in RNAcentral is "tRNA-OTHER". It matches the Rfam family "tRNA". From Rfam's summary of the family: Transfer RNA (tRNA) molecules are approximately 80 nucleotides in length. Their secondary structure includes four short double-helical elements and three loops (D, anti-codon, and T loops). Further hydrogen bonds mediate the characteristic L-shaped molecular structure. tRNAs have two regions of fundamental functional importance: the anti-codon, which is responsible for specific mRNA codon recognition, and the 3' end, to which the tRNAs corresponding amino acid is attached (by aminoacyl-tRNA synthetases). tRNAs cope with the degeneracy of the genetic code in two manners: having more than one tRNA (with a specific anti-codon) for a particular amino acid; and 'wobble' base-pairing, i.e. permitting non-standard base-pairing at the 3rd anti-codon position. The record is from RNAcentral. Lineage: Bacteria; Pseudomonadati; Pseudomonadota.
GGAGAGGUACCGAAGCGGUGUUUUUUUUAAAUAAUAUAAAUCGGUUGAGGGCAUUACGCCCUACGUGGGUUCGAAUCCCACCCUCUCCGCCA